UAUCACGCUACAUACAACCAACAGGUAUGUACAGGACCGGCCUUCCCAUUACCCCGUCAUACACAGUGUAUCACGCUACAUACAACCAACAGGUAUGUACAGGACCGGCCUUCCCAUUACCCCGUCAUACACAGUGUAUCACGCUACAUACGACCAACAGGUAUGUACAGGACCGGCCUUCCCAUUACCCCGUCAUACACAGUGUAUCACGCUACAUACAACCAACAGGUAUGUACAGGACCGGCCUUCCCAUUACCCCGUCACACACAGUGUAUCACGCUACAUACAACCAACAGGUAUGUACAGGACCGGCCUUCCCAUUACCCCGUCAUAUACAGUGUAUCACGCUACAUACAACCAACAGGUAUGUACAGGACCGGCCUUCCCAUUACCCCGUCAUACACAGUGUAUCACACUACAUACAACCAACAGGUAUGUACAGGACCGGCCUUCCCAUUACCCCGUCAUAUACAGUGUAUCACGCUACAUACAACCAACAGGUAUGUACAGGACCGGCCUUCCCAUUACCCCGUCAUAUACAGUGUAUCACGCUACAUACAACCAACAGGUAUGUACAGGA
RNAcentral lists this long non-coding RNA (580 nucleotides) under Salmo salar (Atlantic salmon). Its description in RNAcentral is "lncRNA (ENSSSAG00000108694.1)". The record is from RNAcentral. Lineage: Eukaryota; Metazoa; Chordata; Actinopteri; Salmoniformes; Salmonidae.